This 424-nucleotide ribosomal RNA is filed under the name uncultured prokaryote. RNAcentral describes it as "bacterial SSU rRNA". It matches the Rfam family "Bacterial small subunit ribosomal RNA", at positions 355 to 796 of the family's 1533-position model. The record is from RNAcentral.
UAGGGAAUCUUAGACAAUGGGCGAAAGCCUGAUCUAGCCAUGCCGCGUGUGUGACGAAGGCCCUAGGGUCGUAAAGCACUUUCGCCGGGGAUGAUAAUGACAGUACCCGGUAAAGAAGUCCCGGCUAACUCCGUGCCAGCAGCCGCGGUAAUACGGAGGGGACUAGCGUUGUUCGGAAUUACUGGGCGUAAAGCGCGCGUAGGCGGACUAUUAAGUCGGGGGUGAAAUCCCGGGGCUCAACCCCGGAACUGCCUUCGAUACUGGUAGUCUUGAGUUCGAGAGAGGUGAGUGGAAUUCCGAGUGUAGAGGUGAAAUUCGUAGAUAUUCGGAGGAACACCAGUGGCGAAGGCGGCUCACUGGCUCGAUACUGACGCUGAGGUGCGAAAGCGUGGGGAGCAAACAGGAUUAGAUACCCGCGUAGUCC